UGGGCCCACGGGCUGACAGAGGGAUGGUGUGCUGCACAGAGGAGGACCUGCGAUGGGGAUUCAAGAAGGGAGCUCGGGGGCCACUGCUUAGUGGAGGCCAGAGGGCCGUGUGCUGCAGUAUGGCCGUGACUGGGGCUGGGUUCUCCCUCUACCCACGUGUCCCUUACCUGAGAGCACGCUCUGGAUGCGGUCAUAAUGCAGGAAGUUGUAUGUGCUGCCUGUGAGGCUAGCCUCGUCUCUGGGCAGCGUCUCCUUCAGGUGGACUUCCAGCCCGUUCAGCGACGCCAGGCUGCUGUGGUACUGCAGAGGGGCCAGGAGUGGGUCACAGGCUGGCACACUUAGUUGAAAGGACUUCCCUACAUGGAGAUGACUGGCUUGGAACUCACUACGAAGACCAGGCCAGCCUAACUGUGCAAAGCCUUCUGCCUCUGCCUCCUGACUGCUUGGAUUACAGGUGUGCACCACCCCACCCCAGCCCCUCUCUUCAUGUGUUAUGUGGUGUACAUCCAGCUCAGUGGAGGACAUCAGACCCCUUGUCAGAACCCCUGCUGUUACAGGCAGCUGUGAGCUGUCCAUUGCACUCAGGGCCUGGAAACACCAGCGAGCGCUAUGAACCCCUGAGUCAUCUCUCCAACUCUGGGACUGUCUGCUUUAGCAAUAAUGGUGGCCUGGUGUUCCAGUGCUCCCCAACACCAGCA
RNAcentral lists this long non-coding RNA (698 nucleotides) under Mus pahari (shrew mouse). Its description in RNAcentral is "predicted gene 20636 (MGP_PahariEiJ_G0003150.1)". The record is from RNAcentral. Lineage: Eukaryota; Metazoa; Chordata; Mammalia; Rodentia; Muridae.